GUGGGGAAUAUUGGACAAUGGGCGCAAGCCUGAUCCAGCAAUGCCGCGUGGGUGAAGAAGGUCUUCGGAUCGUAAAGCCCUUUCGACAGGGACGAUGAUGACGGUACCUGUAGAAGAAGCCCCGGCUAACUUCGUGCCAGCAGCCGCGGUAAUACGAAGGGGGCUAGCGUUACUCGGAAUUACUGGGCGUAAAGGGCACGUAGGCGGCUCUGUUAGUCAGGCGUGAAAUUCCUGGGCUUAACCUGGGGACGGCGCUUGAUACUGCAGGGCUUGAGGCCGAGAGAGGGUGGUGGAAUUCCCAGUGUAGAGGUGAAAUUCGUAGAUAUUGGGAAGAACACCGGUGGCGAAGGCGACCACCUGGCUCGGUUCUGACGCUGAGGCGCGACAGCGUGGGGAGCAAACAGGAUUAGAUACCCCGGUAGUCC
Molecule: ribosomal RNA, 425 nt
Filed under: uncultured bacterium
Lineage: Bacteria
Description: partial 16S ribosomal RNA
Rfam family: Bacterial small subunit ribosomal RNA
Source: RNAcentral